UUUUCUUAAAACGACCAAAACUCUGUUUUUUUUUCCUCCAUUUCCUAAUCUGCUCUUCCACUUGCGUUUUCAAGUCAAAACUUUUUUAGACUUCUCAAAUCCCCUAAGAGACAAACAUAGAGGCAUCAUCAACUCAUCACCCUUUAAAGAGAAAAAAAAGAAGAAGAAGAGAAUAAUGGAUUGUAACGGAAACUAAUAUUCGAUCCAUUUUGAAGAUGGCACUGAAACGAGGGAAGCUUGAUUCGUGUGUGAAUUCUCUCAUCUAUGGGUUUCAUCAUCCGUCUUAAUUGUUGUAGGAGGAUAAUCUCUAUGUAUAGAUGUAUGUUAGGAUAUAAAUGAGAUAAUGAACGACGUGUUAGAUGUAUGUUAGGAGGUAAAAAGAUGAAAAUGAAUGAUGUAUGUAUAGGGA
Capsella rubella is the source of this 409-nucleotide long non-coding RNA. RefSeq lists it as uncharacterized. The transcript is spliced from 2 exons. Lineage: Eukaryota; Viridiplantae; Streptophyta; Magnoliopsida; Brassicales; Brassicaceae. The record is from RefSeq and is a predicted model, not a curated record.